UCAGUUAGUGUCUGACCUGCCCAUGUGUUCCACCUACUGGGAUGGCUCCUGGAAGUCACGUGGCAGAGCAUGAUACCCUCAGAGGGACAGAGAAGAGAAGCACAGUAACACAAUCUGUUAUUUGAAGAAACAAGUGUGGAACGGUGGAACUUGGGGAAAGUCUACUCUUCAUCGUAGAGCCUUUCCAGGGGUCACGGAAGGGGACCAAACACUGCAGCUCGUGGACUGCUGGACUCUAGGAUCCGCUUUGGACAUGCUUCUCCUGGCAAAAACAAAGGCUGGAGAGUGCUAGAACGUUCAACAUCUGGAGCCCAAGCAGGGACCUAACAAAACAUCCAAGCACACUGGCCCUGGGGAUGCAUGAUGAUUGUAUGGGAAGAAUAACCGUUGCCUCGGGGCUCUGGGCUAUAUGUGCUGUUUCCUGAAGCCUCAGAAAGCAUGAGACAGCCAGCAGAGACGUCACUUCCAAAAUAUGGACAUUUCUGGAAUUUUCCACAUGCAGAUUCAGUCUGAGGCUGAAGGAAGAGAAAGACUACGAGGCAAGCCAGAUGGAAAACCAGAUAAUCAGAGGGCAGUGUCUGAUGGUGAUGCUGGAAUACACAAAAGAUGUCCCCAGCCCAAUGUCUGAGCACUUUUUUUGCUGUAUUAACCGCUCUUAACCUACUUGGCAUAAGGAAUUCCUCUGAGAAUCUCAGUAAGGUAGACACUCUUCCUCAGAAAGACAUGCAAUUACACAUACACUUUCAGGAGGUUCACAGAGUCCCGGGGAGCCAGGUUCAGAUCUCCUACACUAGAUGACUCAUCUUAUCAUGGAAACUGAGACCUUCAUGCACUAACCUGGGGUGUAUUGAUGGGCACUGCCAACUCUUCUUUACCCACGCUCUGUUCUGACACCUUUCUCAUGGGCAUAUUCCAUCAGGUCCUUAAGAGUGCUGGCACGGCAUAUGCCCCCCUCAAUAAGUCCUUGGUCACACAGGUUACCGUCCAGUCUUGUUGGGGAACCCUGCUGCUAGGGUUGUAGUCCUCCAUGUCCAGAUAGCUCUAAGGGGCUCGGGCGCUAUAUGGAAGGAGUUCCCUU
Long non-coding RNA from Nannospalax galili (Upper Galilee mountains blind mole rat), 1078 nucleotides. RefSeq lists it as uncharacterized. The record is from RefSeq and is a predicted model, not a curated record. Lineage: Eukaryota; Metazoa; Chordata; Mammalia; Rodentia; Spalacidae. The transcript is spliced from 4 exons.